This 106-nucleotide ribosomal RNA is filed under the name Salmonella enterica. RNAcentral describes it as "partial 23S ribosomal RNA". It matches the Rfam family "Bacterial large subunit ribosomal RNA", at positions 2820 to 2925 of the family's 2925-position model. The record is from RNAcentral. Lineage: Bacteria; Pseudomonadati; Pseudomonadota; Gammaproteobacteria; Enterobacterales; Enterobacteriaceae.
AGGUCUCCUGAAGGAACGUUGAAGACGACGACGUUGAUAGGCCGGGUGUGUAAGCGCAGCGAUGCGCUGAGCUAACCGGUACUAAUGAACCGUGAGGCUUAACCUU